Molecule: ribosomal RNA, 468 nt
Filed under: uncultured bacterium
Lineage: Bacteria
Description: partial 16S ribosomal RNA
Rfam family: Bacterial small subunit ribosomal RNA
Source: RNAcentral
GACGAACGCUGGCGGCGUGCUUAACACAUGCAAGUCGAACGGAAAGGCCCUGCUCUUGUGGCGUGCUCGAGUGGCGCACGCGUGAGUAUCACGCGUGUAUCCCGCCCCUGUCUGUCUGAUAACUUCUCGAAACACGGGCUAUUACCGGAGAUGAGCUCCUGCUCCAUGGUGGUCGUUGGAAAGUUUCGGCGGUUGGGGAUGGACUGGCGGCUUAUCCGCUUGUUGGGGUGGUAGUGGCUUACGAAGGCUUUGACGGGUAGCCGGCCUGAGAGGGGGAACGGGCACAUGAGGACUGAGAUACGGCCCAGAAUCGAACGGGAGGCAGUAGUGGGGAGUAUGACACAAUGGGGGGAAGCCUGAUGCGACGACGCCGCGUGCGGGAAGACGGCCUUCGAGUGGUAAACCGCUGUGGCCUGUGACGAAGCGUGAGUGACGGUAACGGGUAAGGAAGCACCGGCUAACUACGUG